Molecule: long non-coding RNA, 218 nt
Filed under: Ananas comosus (pineapple)
Lineage: Eukaryota; Viridiplantae; Streptophyta; Magnoliopsida; Poales; Bromeliaceae
Description: long non-coding RNA (ACOM_LNC022890)
Source: RNAcentral
GGGCUUUAGACCUGUGUAAUCUCACCUAUAUAUUUAUUUACACUUUCAAAUAGAAUAUAUUUCUGUUUAAUCAAAAAAAAGAAAAAAAAAGGCUAGUAUAAAAUUAACGUCUUUUCGGCGAUGAAAUAAAAGAUUACAGCUUAUUUUUAGAUGUACAGAUAGCAUUUCUUCGUGAGCAAACGUGGGGACAGUGAGCUGAGAGUCUCGCAGGGUAAUGU